GCAAUGCCGCGUGAGUGAAGAAGGCCUUCGGGUUGUAAAGCUCUUUUGUCAGGGAAGAAACGGUGAGCUCUAAUACAGUUUGCUAAUGACGGUACCUGAAGAAUAAGCACCGGCUAACUACGUGCCAGCAGCCGCGGUAAUACGUAGGGUGCAAGCGUUAAUCGGAAUUACUGGGCGUAAAGCGUGCGCAGGCGGUUUUGUAAGUCUGUCGUGAAAUCCCCGGGCUCAACCUGGGAAUGGCGAUGGAGACUGCAAGGCUAGAGUUUGGCAGAGGGGGGUAGAAUUCCACGUGUAGCAGUGAAAUGCGUAGAUAUGUGGAGGAACACCGAUGGCGAAGGCAGCCCCCUGGGUCAAAACUGACGCUCAUGCACGAAAGCGUGGGGAGCAAACAGGAUUAGAUACCCUGGUAGUCCACGCCCUAAACGAUGUCUACUAGUUGUCGGGUCUUAAUUGACUUGGUAACGCAGCUAACGCGUGAAGUAGACCGCCUGGGGAGUACGGUCGCAAGAUUAAAACUCAAAGGAAUUGACGGGGACCCGCACAAGCGGUGGAUGAUGUGGAUUAAUUCGAUGCAACGCGAAAAACCUUACCUACCCUUGACAUGGAUGGAAUCCUUGAGAGAU
RNAcentral lists this ribosomal RNA (623 nucleotides) under Oxalobacteraceae bacterium Se3Ps_2685. RNAcentral's name for it is "bacterial SSU rRNA". It matches the Rfam family "Bacterial small subunit ribosomal RNA", at positions 391 to 1007 of the family's 1533-position model. Lineage: Bacteria; Pseudomonadati; Pseudomonadota; Betaproteobacteria; Burkholderiales; Oxalobacteraceae. The record is from RNAcentral.